Molecule: non-coding RNA, 90 nt
Organism: Potamilus streckersoni
Lineage: Eukaryota; Metazoa; Mollusca; Bivalvia; Unionida; Unionidae
Source: the annotation of a GenBank genome assembly
GCUCCGGUGGCCUAAAUGCUAAGAGCGUCGGUCUCUCAGUGGUAGAAUUUGACUUCUGUAAAGUCGUGGGUUCGAACCCCACCCGCAUCA